GACGAGGGGUCCUAGCGUUGUUCGGAAUCAUUGGGCGUAAAGCGUGUGUAGGCUGCCAAAAAAGUCAGUUGUGAAAUCCCCGGGCUUAACCCGGGAAGUGCUUCUGAUACUGUUUGGCUUGAGUACUGGAGAGGAUAGUGGAAUUCCUGGUGUAGCGGUGAAAUGCGCAGAUAUCAGGAGGAACACCGGUGGCGAAGGCGGGACUCUGGGCCGAUACUGACGCUGAGGAGCGAAAGCGUGGGGAGCAAACAGG
RNAcentral lists this ribosomal RNA (253 nucleotides) under uncultured bacterium. Its description in RNAcentral is "partial 16S ribosomal RNA". It matches the Rfam family "Bacterial small subunit ribosomal RNA", at positions 524 to 776 of the family's 1533-position model. The record is from RNAcentral.